AGGAUGAACGCUGGCGGCGUGCCUAACACAUGCAAGUCGAGCGAUCUUCUUCGGAAGAGAGCGGCGGACGGGUGAGUAACGCGUGGGUAACCUGCCCUGUACACACGGAUAACAUACCGAAAGGUACGCUAAUACGGGAUAACAUAUGAGAGUCACAUGACUUUUAUAUCAAAGCUUUUGCGGUACAGGAUGGACCCGCGUCUGAUUAGCUAGUUGGUAAGGUAACGGCUUACCAGGGCGACGAUCAGUAGCCGACCUGAGAGGGUGAUCGGCCACACUGGAACUGAGACACGGUCCAGACUCCUACGGGAGGCAGCAGUGGGGAAUAUUGCACAAUGGGCGAAAGCCUGAUGCAGCAACGCCGCGUGAGCGAUGAAGGCCUUCGGGUCGUAAAGCUCUGUCCUCAAGGAAGAUAAUGACGGUACUUGAGGAGGAAGCCCCGGCUAACUACGUGCCAGCAGCCGCGGUAAUACGUAGGGGGCUAGCGUUAUCCGGAAUUACUGGGCGUAAAGGGUGCGUAGGUGGUUUUUUAAGUCAGAAGUGAAAGGCUACGGCUCAACCGUAGUAAGCUUUUGAAACUAAAGAACUUGAGUGCAGGAGAGGAGAGUAGAAUUCCUAGUGUAGCGGUGAAAUGCGUAGAUAUUAGGAGGAAUACCAGUAGCGAAGGCGGCUCUCUGGACUGCAACUGACACUGAGGCACGAAAGCGUGGGGAGCAAACAGGAUUAGAUACCCUGGUAGUCCACGCCGUAAACGAUGAGUACUAGGUGUCGGGGGUUACCCCCCUCGGUGCCGCAGCUAACGCGUUAAGUACUCCGCCUGGGAAGUACGCUCGCAAGAGUGAAA
This 844-nucleotide ribosomal RNA is filed under the name uncultured bacterium. RNAcentral's name for it is "bacterial SSU rRNA". It matches the Rfam family "Bacterial small subunit ribosomal RNA", at positions 26 to 899 of the family's 1533-position model. The record is from RNAcentral.